GAUUAACGCUGGCGGCGUGCAUAACACAUGCAAGUCGAACGAUGAAACUUAAAUGAUUUCUUCGGAAUGAACUUAAGUGGAUUAGUGGCGGACGGGUGAGUAACGCGUGAGUAACCUGCCUUACACAAGGGGAUAGCCGUUGGAAACGACGAAUAAUACCCUAUGAUGUUUCUAUCUCGCAUGAGAUAUUAACCAAAGUGUUAGCGGUGUAAGAUGGACUUGCGUCUGAUUAGCUAGUUGGUGAGAAAAAAGCCCACCAAGGCAACGAUCAGUAGCCGGCUUGAGAGAGUGUACGGCCACAUUGGGACUGAGACACGGCCCAGACUCCUACGGGAGGCAGCAGUGGGGAAUUUUGCACAAUGGGGGAAACCCUGAUGCAGCGACGCCGCGUGAUUUAGAAGGCCUUCGGGUUGUAAAAAUCUUUUGUAUAGGAAGAAAAUGACAGUACUAUACGAAUAAGGUCCGGCUAAUUACG
Molecule: ribosomal RNA, 475 nt
Filed under: uncultured bacterium
Lineage: Bacteria
Description: partial 16S ribosomal RNA
Rfam family: Bacterial small subunit ribosomal RNA
Source: RNAcentral